CGAACGGGUGAGUAACGCGUGAGGAACCUGCCUCAAAGAGGGGGACAACAGUUGGAAACGACUGCUAACACCGCAUAAGCCCACGGCUCGGCAUCGAGCAGAGGGAAAAGGAGCAAUCCGCUUUGAGAUGGCCUCGCGUCCGAUUAGCUAGUUGGUGAGGUAACGGCCCACCAAGGCGACGAUCGGUAGCCGGACUGGGAGGUUGAACGGCCACAUUGGGACUGAGACACGGCCCAG
This 237-nucleotide ribosomal RNA is filed under the name uncultured bacterium. RNAcentral's name for it is "partial 16S ribosomal RNA". It matches the Rfam family "Bacterial small subunit ribosomal RNA", at positions 99 to 334 of the family's 1533-position model. The record is from RNAcentral.